GACGAACGCUGGCGGCGUGCUUAACACAUGCAAGUCGAACGGAAAGGCCCUGCUUUUGUGGGGUGCUCGAGUGGCGAACGGGUGAGUAACACGUGAGUAACCUUCCCUUGACUUUGGGAUAACUUCAGGAAACUGGGGCUAAUACCGGAUAGGAGCUCCUGCUGCAUGGUGGGGGUUGGAAAGUUUCGGCGGUUGGGGAUGGACUCGCGGCUUAUCAGCUUGUUGGUGGGGUAGUGGCUUACCAAGGCUUUGACGGGUAGCCGGCCUGGGAGGGUGACCGGCCACAUUGGGACUGAGAUACGGCCCAGACUCCUACGGGAGGCAGCAGUGGGGAAUAUUGCCCAAUGGGCGGAAGCCUGAUGCAGCAACGCCGCGUGCGGGAUGACGGCCUUCGGGUUGUAAACCGCUUUCGCCUGUGACGAAGCGUGAGUGACGGUAAUGGGUAAAGAAGCACCGGCUAACUACGUG
This 468-nucleotide ribosomal RNA is filed under the name uncultured bacterium. RNAcentral describes it as "partial 16S ribosomal RNA". It matches the Rfam family "Bacterial small subunit ribosomal RNA", at positions 28 to 507 of the family's 1533-position model. The record is from RNAcentral.